UGCUCUGCGCUGACCCUUCCCACCCGCCUGCUCUCGGGCAUACCCUGCACUGCUGCCCAUGGCGUGGAGGAGCAGAACGGGAUGUGUUCCAUGCCCCUCACAGCCCAAGACCUGGCAGGAGCUCCACCACCCGCCCAGCUCUUCUUCACACAUCUCCCAGGCGCUAAGUGGGAAGAACUAGAGGUAGACCAGAAGCAGCCAGCACGCCCUGCGAGUAGGAGCUCCGAGGGACUUUGCAGCUCAGCUUCCAUUCUGCUCACCUGGUGCAUCCUCUGCACUCCUACGUACGCAGAGAAACAGAUUUUGAGUUCUGAUUGUUCUGUCCAAAGAAGGAAAGCUAGUUCAUGGAGCUUGCUGGAAUAACGUUCAACACAGCUGAAGGAAGACAGAGGAGGAUAUCCAGGGAGACGUCGUCCAGAGCUUGCCAGUCCCAGGAGGAGAACGACAUCUCAGUACCAGGGCAUCCCUGUUCACAGCACACUCAUCUCUAGCUGAACUGGAGCUCCGCACGGUUGGGUUGGAUGUUCCAAGGAUAUGGCUGACAGCACUGCACAAAUGUGACUGAGAUCCUGAUAAGCAAGAGAAAUGAUAUGGAUGCAUAAGUUUACCAAAACCAGAAAUAACAGAAUUUUGCUGGAAUGACAGAUGGAACAAAACUUUCGUGAAUAUGGAUGGAGGAUGUUUUGGCGCCUAUUACAGGUAAGAAUGCCGUGUUAUUUCUUAUUUAUCUGAAUGCACAGUGCACA
This is a long non-coding RNA of Numida meleagris (helmeted guineafowl), 746 nucleotides long. RefSeq lists it as uncharacterized. The transcript has 3 exons. Lineage: Eukaryota; Metazoa; Chordata; Aves; Galliformes; Numididae. The record is from RefSeq and is a predicted model, not a curated record.